Molecule: long non-coding RNA, 850 nt
Filed under: Homo sapiens (human)
Lineage: Eukaryota; Metazoa; Chordata; Mammalia; Primates; Hominidae
Description: HSALNT0394813
Source: RNAcentral
UAAAUAAAUAAAAAUAAAAUAAAAAUAAAAAGACUAGUAGGAAAUACAUGAUUUGGAAAUAAAAAAUAUUCACUAGAUUGAUGAUGCUAAUUGGCUUUUUACAAACCUAGGAAGAAAAAUAUGUUGCAAACAUGGAGGAAAGAUGAUGGCCUCCUUCAACAGAACUAUGAGUUGUCCAAGAUUUCACAAAGUUCUUCAAGCAUGGCAUUUGAUGAUGAGCCCUAAGAUGACUUGAGCCUCACGUCAACUCUCUUUGCUACACGCCCCUCUUUGGAGACCACCACUUCAUGCAAUGGGGAGUGACAUUAGGGCUGAACUUUAAGAAAGAGAACUCUGACAGUAAUGAGAAGACAGAAAAAGAGAAUGACCAGAUAUCCAAAAUGGGAUCGUAGCAUCGAACAUGAGAAGGCCAUGCAUAAGAUGGGUUUAGAAAGACUUGGAUUCAACAAGAGCCUCCAUUCUCCCCUUAUUGCAAUCACCAUGUGAAAAGAAGGUAAUUUGCAUUUGGUUCAUUAUCCUUAAAAGGAAGCAAUUUUCAAAGAGGUGGAAAGAUCGUUUUUUUGUUUUGUUUUGUUUUGUUUUGUUUCAACUCCUAAGGAAAUCCUUCACUCUGGUGGCACGGGUUUUCCACAUGCAAAAUGCAAGUGCAGUCAUAAACUGAAAUUUUUUCUGAAAUGGAUUUACUAGGGAAAGUUACAAACUUAACAAGAUGUCACAUCUCUGCCUCAGACCAAUCCACUCAACAGUACCUAGUUAAGGUGUCAGAGGCUCUUUACUUUAGCAAAAAGAAGCUAAAUUUUUUUUAUUUGCUUGCUAAUUAGGGGUUUCUGUGACUACCCAAAGAUGCACA